GACGAACGCUGGCGGCGUGCUUAACACAUGCAAGUCGAACGGAAAGGCCUUUUCGGAGGUACUCGAGUGGCGAACGGGUGAGUAACACGUGGGUGAUCUGCCCUGCACUCUGGGAUAUGCCUGGGAAACUGGGUCUAAUACCGGAUAGGACCGAACUUUAGUGUGUGUGGUGGAAAGUUUUUGAGGUGUAGGAUGGGGCCGGGGCCUAGCAGCUUGUUGGUGGGGUAAUGGCCUACCAAGGCGGCGACGGGUAGCCGGACUGGGAGGGUGGUCAGCCACAGUGGGACUGGGAUACGGCCCAGACUCCGACGGGUGGCAGCAGUGGGGGAGAGGGAACAAGGGGCGCAAGCGUGAUGCAGCGACGCCGCGGGGGGGAGGGCGGUCUUCGGGUUGGAAUCGCAUUUCGCCAGGGACGAAGCGGUUUGUGACGGUACCUGGAGAAGAAGCACCGGCUAACUACGUG
Molecule: ribosomal RNA, 463 nt
Filed under: uncultured bacterium
Lineage: Bacteria
Description: partial 16S ribosomal RNA
Rfam family: Bacterial small subunit ribosomal RNA
Source: RNAcentral